This 467-nucleotide ribosomal RNA is filed under the name uncultured bacterium. RNAcentral describes it as "partial 16S ribosomal RNA". It matches the Rfam family "Bacterial small subunit ribosomal RNA", at positions 28 to 507 of the family's 1533-position model. The record is from RNAcentral.
GACGAACGCUGGCGGCGUGCUUAACACAUGCAAGUCGAACGGAAAGGCCUCUUUCGGGGGGUACUCGAGUGGCGAACGGGUGAGUAACACGUGAGUAACCUGCCCUUGACUUUGGGAUAACUUCAGGAAACUGGGGCUAAUACCGGAUAGGAGCUCCUGCUGCAUGGUGGGGGUUGGAAAGUUUCGGCGGUUGGGGAUGGACUCGCGGCUUAUCAGCUUGUUGGUGGGGUAGUGGCUUACCAAGGCUUUGACGGGUAGCCGGCCUGAGAGGGUGACCGGCCACAGUGGGACUGAGAUACGGCCCAGACUCCUACGGGAGGCAGCAGUGGGGAAUAUUGCACAAUGGGUGGAAGCCGGAUGCAGCAACGCCGGGUGCGGGAUGACGGCCUUCGGGUUGUAAACCGCUUUCGCUCAUGACGAAGCUUUGUGUGACGGUAGUGGGUAAAGAAGCACCGGCUAACUACGUG